UGUGACUCUACUCUGAUAGUCUUGUAGGAACUGAUGUCACUGCCCCACACUCCUCUUGUCCUAUUCUAAUGUCAUGUCUUUCCCUAUGUCUUUCCAGCAGUGCCUGUGGGCUCCUGAAGGAAAGGAGAGAUGAGAUCAUUAUGGGCAGAACUUAGAACCUCUGGAUGAAUAGAGACGAGGUAAAAUUCUGGCACCUAUCCACAGCCUGAACCUUGGAGAGCACCUCCCUUUCAUAUGACUUCUGCAAAGGGCAUGUUUCAGCUCACAGGGACAAAGAGUCACUGCACCAGAGAACCAGAAAGAGUGAAGAAAUGUUUGUCCCCGGUGCUGAGAACACCACAGAUGAUCUUUCUGCCCAGAGCCACCAUCUUGUCUCUAAAUAUCAGGGUUAUCAAUGCCUGGCCAUCUCUUUUCAAUUUGGGACAACUGCCAGCGACCACUAGCUAGCUCCAGAAUUCCUCAGGUAUGGAAGCUGUCCCUGGGUCUCCAUCACAUCUGACUUCUUCUUCUUUCCAAUUAUGCUUCUUCUCCCACCUCCACUUUCACAAGUGUGUUCCUCAAAGGAGCUCCUUUGUUAAAUGGCCUGUACCUAAAUGUCAUCCCACAGUCUGCUUCUUGGGGUAAUCCAAAA
Pan troglodytes (chimpanzee) is the source of this 631-nucleotide long non-coding RNA. The record is from Ensembl. NCBI's taxonomy places the organism in Eukaryota, Metazoa, Chordata, Mammalia, Primates, Hominidae.